UUGGCCGAAUGGUUGAAGGUGCCGGCCUCUGAAGCAGAAGGGGCCCGGGUUUGAU
Molecule: transfer RNA, 55 nt
Filed under: Oxyrrhis marina
Lineage: Eukaryota; Dinophyceae; Oxyrrhinales; Oxyrrhinaceae
Description: partial tRNA
Source: RNAcentral